AUGGAGAAGAUAGAAAAGGGAACACAGAGCAUGUGGGUUGUUUGUUUAUGUUCUUCUUCUUCUCUGAUUGCUAUCAAUUACCCCAGCUGAUCAAUUGCUAUCAAUUAUUAUCCUCAGAUGGGUGCUAUUUCAUGACAGGAACCACAACUCCAAAAGUUAUUAAUGAUCAAGUUUUUUCACUAUAAUGGGUCAUUGUACUUCAAGCAGAUGUUUGACAAGUUAUAACAGGCUAGAGAAGUUCUAACAGAGGUGCAUUUCCUUCCCUUUAAUCCAGUGGACAAGCGUAGCUCCUUAACAUACAUAGACACUGACGGUAAUUGGCACCGAGUAAGCAAGGGAGCACCGGAGGAGAUUAUUGAAUUGUGCAGCAUUAGAGAAGAUGUGAGAAGGAGAGCUAUUUCCAUUAUUGACAAAUUUGCUGAACGCAGUCUCUCUUCCCUUGCUGUUGGUAAACAAGACCAUCUCAUGGCUCAGGAUUGACUUGGCAUAUGAGAAUUAAGAUUUCUCUUGACACAACAAGUCUCGGACUGUUGUGGCAGAGAAUUUACCUGACGAUCAUUCCCAUCAAAAUCUUCAGAAAAUAUUUGCCAUAGUCGAGAGCGUCAAAACAAUCAGAAUAUGCCAUCCCCAAGAACCAAAUUCUUCUCGGCCGAAAGGUGAUUUCCUCAUCAGUAACAAGGUACAAAAAAUAUGGCAUAUACCAUAUUACUAUGUUGUCUUGGCAGUCAAGGGUGAUGCAUCUCUUGAGUGAUAAAUGACAGCACCCGUAGCACCUAGAGAAUGUGUCCUGGAAUGUGUGGAUGCAGCAGAUGGAAAACCAACAGAUGAAAAUGUGGAUUUUACCUGUCUAUUGAAAAUGCUGAUGCUGAUCUUAGAACUUUGCCUUUCAGCAAUCUGAAACAAAUUUCAGGAACAAAGAGUAGAAAUCAAAAUAUAGAGAUGCUGUGCAUAAAAUGCGUAAGGUCCGGGGUUCAAACCUGGCCACCACCAAAAUCAAGAUCUUGAAUUCAUGCAUCAUGAAAGAAAACUAAAUAAUAUGGGUUUAGAUCCGGUCCAAGGACACUGGCACUAGAGCAAGGGCUUUAGGCACCCCAAAAUUUGUAGGCCUCUGAAUAUUUUUCGUUUUAAAUAUAUUUUCAUAAGUCGAAUUUUUUAAACAUUUUUGCGUCGAACUCAAUUAGUAGUUAAAUGGAGAGAUAGACUCUCACAAACUGAUGAAUCAAUAUUUUUUUAAUGAUGAUGAAUGAAUAUUUGAUUACUAAAUAUGGGCAAUGAAUAUUUCCUUAAAUAAAGUUACACAUUUACUGUUCUUAAUUUUUAUAUUUCUUUGUCAACAGACUUAAAAGGCUCGAAUUUCAAAUUCGCUUUAAGCCAUCAAAUUUCCCUUCAUUUACACGAGAUUCAUAGAGAGUUAGACGAUGAGAUUUCGCAAUUUUUUACUUGCAAAAUUGCACUGAGUUGGGGAAAAGUGCAUUUUUCAGGUUAUUGAUCAGUUGGCUGCUCAAUCCUAGAUAUUAUCAGGCAAAUCCUCCAAGAAGGUGAGUUGCAGCAAUCUCUAAACCUUUUCUAAAUUGACUAAUGACGCAAAGUCACCUAAGAGAUUAGGUGUGUCUCCGUGUCCAACACUUCACACGCGUUGGUGUUCGACACCAACACUACACCGACACCGACACAUAUAUUUGUUAGCAUUAUCAACAACUCCUCUAACUUUUCUUAUGUCAAUGCUAUAUUCUGAACUAAUAGACAUCAUUUGCUUAUCAGUCAAAUUGGCCACAAUUUCUGCAUCAAAUUCUGAAAAUGCAUCUCUGCACAUAAAUUUAAAGUUAGUUACUUCCCUAGAGCAAAAAAAAUAAUUUAUGUGCAUAUGCAAUUAGGUAUAUGAAUGAAUUUUCUCAUAAUCAAACCUGAAAUCUAGGUGUUACUUUCUUAGUAGUGUUAUCAAAUAUCAGCCGCAACGACACUAUGGCGGGUUGUGGUGGCAGAUUUUAAAUUUUCUGUUAUGGUAAAUGGCGGCCGAUAUCCUGCCAUUUCCGCUAUAAUUAUGUCAUACAGAACUGUAAUUGCGCCAUAUAAUGAGCACUAAAGACCCUUUCUCAUUAGUAGCAAUGUUGGGCAUAUUGAGUUCUUGAUCUUGGAUAAAUAGGGAGAUGAGAUACAAGUGUCCAUGAACUGGCAUUUGCAAGACCGGCUGGUUGGUUCCAAUUUGUUAGGGACAAUCACCUACAAGAGGGCGACAAGCUGUUAUUCGAUUUAGGUGUUACUCCUACAGUGUUGUUUGUGGAGUUGGUCCUUAGAAAUGAUCUUGCUUGAAGAAAAGUUCUAAACUUUUGGAAAUUGUACGCUGGCAUGUAUAUUUUGUAUAAUAUUUCGAUGACAAUGUUUUGAAUGUGGUUUGGAUUUAGUAAUCCAACCCUUUUUUGGUAACCAACCUUAAAUUGGUUGUACACUACAUGACAACAUCUAUAUUUCUGUUGUAGUACAUUAUGUACGCAAUGACAAUAAUUGUUAUGCUAUCUUUUAUGCCAUGUCUUAGACCAUGCAUCACAAAUAUUCGGAUUA
Molecule: long non-coding RNA, 2559 nt
Organism: Medicago truncatula (barrel medic)
Lineage: Eukaryota; Viridiplantae; Streptophyta; Magnoliopsida; Fabales; Fabaceae
Exons: 12
Source: RefSeq, a predicted model, not a curated record